CCUACGGGUGGCAGCAGUGGGGAAUAUUGCACAAUGGGGGAAACCCUGAUGCAGCGACGCCGCGUGAGUGAAGAAGUAAUUCGUUAUGUAAAGCUCUAUCAGCAGGGAAGCAAAUGACGGUACCUGAGUACGAAGCCCCGGCUAACUACGUGCCAGCAGCCGCGGGAAUGCGUAGGGGGCAAGCGUUAUCCGGAUUUGCUGGGUGUUAAGGGAGCGUAGACGGCAGUGCAAGUCUGGAGUGAAAGGCGGGGGCUCAACCCCCGGACUGCUCUGGAAACUGGACGGCUGGAGUGCAGGAGAGGUAAGUGGAAUGCGUGGUGUAGCGGUGAAAUGCGUAGAUAGUAGGAAGAACACCAGUGGCGAAGGCAGCUUACUGGACUGUAACUGACGUUGAGGCUCGAAAGCGUGGGGAGCAAACAGGAUUAGAUACCCCUGUAGUC
RNAcentral lists this ribosomal RNA (440 nucleotides) under uncultured bacterium. RNAcentral's name for it is "partial 16S ribosomal RNA". It matches the Rfam family "Bacterial small subunit ribosomal RNA", at positions 338 to 795 of the family's 1533-position model. The record is from RNAcentral.